RNAcentral lists this long non-coding RNA (23032 nucleotides) under Malus domestica (apple). Its description in RNAcentral is "long non-coding RNA (MDOM_LNC001372)". Lineage: Eukaryota; Viridiplantae; Streptophyta; Magnoliopsida; Rosales; Rosaceae. The record is from RNAcentral.
AAAAUCCAUCUGAUUUAGUUUUAAAGAAAAUUAAUUAAACAAAAACUAAAAAGAAAACUAAUAAAAAAAAUUUAAAAACUUUGAGUUUUAACUAUAAGAACAAAAUAAAAGAUAAAAUGAAUAGUUUCGUUAAAGUAAACAGUAUCGGGAGCUUUUCAUUAAAGUUCCCAAAACUAAACCCAAAAAUUUAAGGAAACUUUAACAAAAAGUUUCUGGUAUUGUUCACUUUAACGAAAAAUCAUAUUUUUACAUUAAAAAAAUCAAUCAUAUUACUAUUCAUUUUACAUUUUAUUUUAUCUUUAUCGUUAAAAUUUAAAGUUUUCAAACUCUUUUAAUUAGUUUUUCUAAAAUUUAAACAUCUCGACUGCGGAGCCAACGUCACCAGUGACAAUUGACUGCUGGAAUACCCCUUCAAUGAAAUCACGACAUCUAAAAACUAAAACUGAAAGAUUCAAAUACAAAAUAUGCAGGCCAUACAACCCCUCUCCGGCGAGACACGCCAACCCCAAUCUCGUCCAAAUCUGGUACCACUCCACCUCCCUCUCUUCCUCUUCCUCAUAGACGAACAACAACAGGCAGAGAGUGGCAGAUGAAGUUUCUCCAAUCGAUAACCGCCGACGCUAUAUGCCCCCGCUGGAACCCAUGUGGACCAUCUUCCUCGUCGUCAUCUUCAUCGGCUUGAUGUUCGAGUUUUUCUUUGACGAGAAAAAUUUGCUCCUUGCUUGGUUUUUUGUGAUGGGUAUGAAACUGCGAGGCGGACGAGCACAGGAGCCGACUCACUGAGUUAAUGGUGGCGCGAGUUAGUGAUUAUAGUGGGGGUUGAGAGAAUCGAUGACUCAAUUUUUUCCAAGAAUAUGUGGCCAAAAUUGCGUUCUUCUUUUCCCGUCUUUGAGAAAGAAGGAUGAAAUAGAAAUUGCGAGGAGGACGGAUCGGACGCCGGGUGGGGGGAGCUGUGGGUUGUUGGCGCGACUGUCGAAUUAUUUUGUUUUAGUUUUUAUUUUAAUUGAUUUUCCAUAAAAAAAAUAAAUCAGAUGGAUUCUUUAGUAGGGCACGUGGCAUCCUCCGAUUAGAUGGGUACAUCAACUGUCCAUGGUGACGUGGUUUCCCGUCACCUCGAAAAUUCAGGAGAAGGGGGAGGGGGAGCGGGGAUGGGGUGGGAUCCAGCUCAUUUCUGGAAUCAAGCUUCGGUGUUACCUGGAAUCGGAUUCUCUAAGGCCAUCUCUAACUGAGGGCUGGCCAGAGGGCUCGUUUUAGCCCUCUAGCCCUCCAAGAUUCUCCAAGAUAUUAAUAUUUUAAUGAACAGUACAGUGUCAUAUUUGCCUCUAUCUCCAACCGAGGGCCAGAGGGCCAGAGGGCUCGUUUUAGCCCUAUCACAAAAAACCGUCUCCAAUCGAGGGCCAAAGGGCCAUAGGGCCAAACAUAAUUUAUUAUUUAAAAACUACAACUAAAAUGUUGUUUAAGUUUCAUGUUGUAUAAUUUUAAUGUUGGUUAAUUUUAUUUAAUGUUGUUUCAUAUUGUUUAAUGUUGUUGCAUGUUACUUAAUUUAAUUUAAUGUUGUAUAAUGGCUUAGGAAGUUAUAGGAAAAAAAAUAGAAUUUAAAAAAAAAUAUGAAACAAAUUUUGUGAAAUAGAAGUUAUAGGAAAAAAAUGGAAUUUAAAAAAAAUAUAAUAAAUUUUGUGAAAUAGAAGUUAUAGGAAAAAAAAAUAUGAAACAAAUUUUGUGAAAUAGAAGUUAUAGGAAAAAAAAGGAAUUUAAAAAAAAUAUGAAACAAAUUUUGUGAAAUAGAAGUUAUAGGAAAAAAAUGGAAUUUAAAAAAAAUAUGAAACAAAUUUUGUGAAAUAGAAGUUAUAGGAAAAAAUAUAAGUUAUAUGAAAAAUUUUGUAAAUAAAAAAUAAUAAUAAUAAUGUAAAAAAAAAAAAUUAAAUCAAAUGGAACGGCUAGUAGCCGUUUCAUUUGAAUUUUUUUUUAAACAAUCAUGUCGAUUAUAACCGACAGGAAUACACCAUUAUUUAGUAUAUUAAAUAAUAGUAUGUAUUCCUGUCGGUUAUAACCGACAGGAAUAACAAAACUAUAAAAAAAAAAUAGCCAGCCAGCCCUCCAGCCCUCUCUGAUCCCGUGGGGCCCUCCCAGAUUCCAGAGCCCUCUAGCCUAGCCCUCGGUUGGAGAUGGUUUUAGGGCUAUUUUCGGCCCUCUGGCCCUCUGGACCCUUCGGUUAGAGAUGACCUAAUAAUACUUGGUAUUUGGAUUCCUUGAAGGGGAGUCCUCCAGGAAUCAAAGUUUUGUUUCAAAAUUACCCUAAUUUAUUUUCUUAAUUUCAAAACAACCUUACAAACUUCAUCACCAAAUCCCACAGAGGUACCCAUAUCACUCUCUUCUCCAGUCUCACCAAUUUUCCUAGGUGGAGCGUUGGCUCCGGCCACACCCGAACCACAGUUCUCCUCGUUGCUUGCAGAAUUUAAGAACGAGAGACAUAUGAAGAUGCAUGUGAAUCUGCGAAUUCAAGAGGUGGUGGGAUGGUUGUGGGGGCUAGGGAAGAAGAGGAUAUAGAUGCUGGGAAUAUGGGAGGACCUGUGAAUAUGGGACGUCGUGGGAAGGUUGUGGGGGUUGGGGAAAGAUAGGAUUGAAGAAAGGGAGGAGAUGACGAUGCUGGGACAUCGGGAGGAAGGGGAUGAGGUGCUGGUUUUUUUAUUUUUAUUUACAUAAAUAUUACCUUAAGAAGAGCUUCUUCAAUUAUUUUAUGAAUUAAUAUGAUAUGAUAUAUAAAUCAAUUCCAAUAACUUUAUAUGAAAAAUAAUUAUUUAGAAUGAGGGGUAGUUUGGUAAUGAUACUAUUUUUAAUUCCGAUUUAACUGAAUAAGUAAACAAGUUUUAUGGAAUUGACACCAAUUUUAUUCCGAUUCCAGAUACUUUAAUAAACAACUUUAAUAAAAAUCUAGUUUUGAUUUCAGCUUAAUCAAAUUCUCCCUCAAUUCAAUUUCCUUCAAUCUGAUUACGGAUUAGUAAACGCGCCUUUUGUGUAAUAACUAUCACAUAUAUUAAAGUCAACUGGUAGGGCUUCUGAUCUUCAUCUCAUAUCCCUUGACUGUAAAACUAAAACCUAAUUUGAAAACGAAAACGAAAAUACUCAGUUCCUUUAUAUGUAAGAAGUCACACCUCUUCAUGGACAAAUUACAGUUUGAUAUGCAAGUAUAAAUUUCUAUUUUUGUGGUUUUAAUAAGUUAUUUUUAUCAAAUAUUAUCAUUAGGGGCUUAAAAUACUAUUAACUUACGUGUCAGACAGCAAUAUGCAUAUAUCGAGAAAAAGCAACGGAAGUAAGCAAGUGUACAGGGACGAAGCUAGAAAUUGAACUAAGAGGGGGCACCUUGAAAUUUUUGAGCUUCUUUUUUGGACAAAUAAAGCUAGUUCUUUUACAAAUGUUGAACAAAAUUGUUUACAAAAAGCCUAAUUUAUUACUCUAUUGUCUAAUGCUCAUUUGUACUAAUUAACCAAAUACAUGCAACUCAACAAGAUUUAGACAUUAAUGCGUGAGAAAAAUAUACAAGACGGAUGGGCAUUUAAAACUAAAAGAGGAUUUUCAAUAUUUUAAUAUGAUUAAUUGAAUAAUCUGCAAAACUAAAAAAAUAGGAAUGAUUAAUUGAAUAAUUUGUAAUGAAAAAAAAAAGGGGAUGAGAGGGAGCAUGUUCCCCCACUGGGCGUUAGGUCAUCUCCAACCGAAGGGUUCAGAGGGCCAGAGGGCCAGAAGGUCGAAAAUAGCCCUAAAACCGUCUCCAACCGAGGGCUAGGCCAGAGGGCUAGGGAAUCUGGGAGGGGCUCACGGAAUCGGAGAGGGCUGGAGGACUGGCUAUUUUUUUUUUAUAUAGUUUUCCUAUUUCUGUCAGUUAUAAACGACAGUAAUAGGUAUUCAUAGGCAAUUUUUUUUUAUUUACUAUUAGUGUCGGUUAUAACCGAUACUAAUAGUUUGAAUUUUUUUUUAAUAUAACAGCUAGCUAAUAAGCUAGCCGUUGGUUUUUUUUUUUUUAAAUUUAAACAUUUCUUUUCUUCUAUAAAUAUGGUGAAGUUCUUUCAAUUCUUCACUUCAUUUGCAAUAUUUCCCUCUUCAAUAUUUCCUUCAAUAUAUUUCUCAAUAUUUCCUUCAAUAUUACCUUCAAUAUAUUUUCCAAUAUUUCCUUCAUCUAUAAUAUUUGUUUCAAUUUUUCAAUAUUUUCCUUCAAUAUUUUUUCAAUAAUUUCCUUCAUUUUUUCCUAUAACUUAUAUUUCACAAAAUUUAUUUCAUAUUUUUUUUUAAAUUCCAUUUUUUUUCUAUAACUUCUAUUUCACAAAAUUUGUUUCAUAUUUUUUUUAAAUUCUAUUUUUUUUUCUAUUACUUCCUAAGCCAUUAUACAACAUUAAAUUAAAUUAAGUAACAUGAAACAACAUUAAACAAUAUGAAACAACAUUUAAGUUGUAGUUUUUAAAUAAUAAAUUAUGUUUGGCCCUAUGGCCCUUUGGCCCUCGGUUGGAGACGGUUUUUUUGUGAAAGGGCUAAAACAAGUCAUCUGGCCCUCUGGCCCUCGGUUGGAGACAGGCAAAUAUGAUCAUGUAUUGUUCAUUAAAAUAUUAAUAUAUUGGAGAAUCUUGAAAGGUCAGAGGACUAAAACGAGCCAUUUGGCCAACCAUCGGUUGGAGAUAGGCACAACCCCACAAGAAUUGGUGAGUUUUUGACACUUUCUCCAUUGACCAUAAAUUUUCCAAGUCCCCCACUAAAACUCUAAACCAUUUGUGACCCUGCAAUGAUUCUGGAAAAUCCCACAAUUUCUAACGUCUAUUUAGAUUCAAUUUCAUAUCUCAUAAAAAGGAUCACAUCCUCUGAGCUCUAGCUAACUUGUCCUCAACACAACCGCGGGAACCAACGAACUUUUGAAAUCCCACUCCCUCCAAAUGGCUAAACACACCCGAACAUCUCCUCUCCAAACCCACCUCCACCUCCUCCUCCUUCUCCUCCUCCUCCUCCCCCUCCUCCGCCAUGCCAACUCCCAAUCCCUCCAAGAACAAGAACAAGCAGUCCUUCUGAAACUCAAGUCCUACUUACAGUCUCCACCAUUUCUCAGCCACUGGAUCCCAUCAAACUCAAACUCUUCUUCCUACUACUGCUCCUGGCCCGAAAUUUCCUGCACAAACAACUCCGUCACUGGAUUGUCUCUCGUCAACUUGAACAUAACCCUGCCAGUUCCACCCUUCAUCUGUGAUCUCACAAACCUCACACUCAUCGAUCUCAACUACAACUACCUCCCCGGAGAGUUCCCAAAAUCUCUCUACAAGUGUCCCAAGCUAGAAUACUUAGACCUUUCACAAAACUACUUUGUAGGCCCAAUUCCUGAUGACAUCGACAGCCUGCCUCGGCUUAAGCAGCUUAUCCUUGCCGGAAACAAUUUCUCCGACAUUCCUCCCGCGAUAGGGCAGUUGCAAGAGCUCGAGAAUCUUCAGCUGUGGAUGAACCAGUUCAAUGGCUCUGUCCCACCAGAAAUAGGUAACUUGUCCAAUCUCAAAGACCUAAACAUGUCUUUCAACAUAAAACUUGUGCCUUGGACCUUGCCUUCCAAUUUCACCAAGUUGAAAAAGCUCAAGAAUUUAUGGAUACGCCAAUCGAACUUGAUUGGAGAGCUUCCUGAGACACUUGGGGAGAUGGAAGCAUUGGAAGUAAUUGAUUUGGCAAUAAACAGUUUGAGUGGGAGGAUCCCGAACGGUUUGUUUACGGUGAAGAAUUUGAGUAUCGUCUAUCUCUACAAGAACAUGCUUUCCGGGGAGGUUCCUCAAGUGAUUGAGUCAUGGAACUUGAGCAUUCUUGAUAUCUCUGAGAACACUUUAAUGGGGACAAUACCAGAAGAGUACGGCAAUCUUACCAAAUUAACAGAGUUGGCUUUGUUUCUCAAUGAUUUUUCGGGUGAAAUUCCGAAGAGCAUUGGCCGCCUGCCAAACCUCAAAAAAUUCAGAAUGUUCAACAACAAUUUUUCAGGAACAUUGGCUCCAGAGUUUGGGAAGUACUCGAAGCUCGAAGCUUUUGAAGUUUGCGUCAAUAGGCUAACGGGAAAACUGCCAGACGAUUUGUGCUAUUGGGGUAAGCUAGAAGAAGUUAUAGCUUAUGGGAAUCAUCUGAGUGGAGAAUUGCCAAGCUCUCUUGGAAAUUGCAGCAGUUUGAAGAAUGUCAAGGUUCAAGAUAAUAUGUUGUCUGGAAACAUUCCUAACGGUAUGUGGACGGCACCAAACUUGACUAUUGUGCUGGUGAGCAACAACUCGCUUACUGGCAAGCUUCCUGAGAAGAUGUCAUCAGAUCUUUCACGCUUGGAAAUGCGAGACAACAGAUUUUCGGGCAACAUUCCAACCGGGGUGUCUUCCUGGACAAGUUUGAAGGUUUUUGACGCCGGUAAUAACCUCUUUAGCGGUGCUGUUCCUCGGGAAUUAACCGUGCUUUCUAGCUUAAUGACUCUUUCUCUUGAUCAGAAUCAGCUCACCGGCUCCCUUCCAUCGGAUAUUGUGUCGUGGGAGUCACUCGCUAGUCUUAAUUUCAGUCGAAAUCAGCUGUCUGGAACAAUUCCUGAGAAGCUUGGUCUUCUGCCGGGACUUACUGGAUUAGACCUUUCAGCAAAUCAACUUUCUGGCGAAAUUCCAGAUCAACUCGGGCGUCUGAAGCUCAACCAAUUCAAUCUCUCUUCCAAUCACCUCACCGGGGAGAUCCCUAUCGAAUUUGAAAACUCUGCGUAUGAAGGAAGCUUCUUGGACAAUCGAGGCCUCUGCGCACCAAGCUCAGCGGCAAUAAAGCUCCCCAUAUGCAAUUCUGAAUCCCGAAAGUCCAGUAAACUUUCGUCGAAAUCUCUUGCACUGAUUUUAUCCUUAGGCAUACUGUUGUGCUUGUUGGCUUUUUCCAUCGCGGUCAUCGUGGUCAGAAGUUACUGGAAGAGAAAUGGUGAUUCUAACUGGAAGCUCAACUCAUUUCAGAAGUUGAAUUUCACAGUGCCGAAAAUCCUAUCGGGGUUGACUGAACGUAAUCUGAUUGGAUGUGGUGGAUCAGGAAAAGUUUAUCGCGUUCCUGUGAAUCGCAAUGGUGAUGUUGUUGCUGUGAAGAAGAUUUGGAAGAAUAAGAAUUUAGAAGAGAAGCUUGAGAAAGAGUUUCUUGCAGAAGUCAAGAUCUUAAGCUCAAUUCGACACGCCAACAUAGUGAAGCUGAUGUGCUGCAUUUCCAGUAACACUUCAAAACUUCUCGUCUACGAGUACUUAGAUAAUCGGAGCCUGGAUCGAUGGCUGCACAGGAGAAACGGGCCAUCCAAUCUCUCGGGGCCAGUCCAACAUGUCGCGCUCGACUGGCCUAAGAGGUUGCGGAUUGCAGUGGGGGCAGCUCAGGGCCUCAGCUAUAUGCACCACGACUGCGUGCCGCCGGUGGUGCAUCGUGACGUGAAAUCAAGCAACAUUUUGUUGGACUCUGAUUUCAAUGCAAAAAUAGCAGACUUUGGUCUGGCUAAGAUGUUGGUCAAGCAAGGAGAACUUGCUACAAUGUCAUCUGUUGCUGGCUCAUUUGGCUACAUGGCUCCAGGUAAACCUUAUACCCCAUAGAUGCUGAAGUUCGGGCAUGUCUGAGACCGCUUCUUUAUAAAGCACUUCUUAUAAGUACUUUUGCAAGAAGUGGUUUUCUCUUCUGCUCAUAAAUUUCGCUAAAGCAAUUGACAAAAAACCAAAAUGCUUCUAUGACCCAUAAGCACUUUAAGUUUUUUUGCCAACAGCAGUUAGAAGUGCUUUGAGUUGUUAGAAAAGCACAUUUAGCCCUUCUAAAAGCAAUCUCAAGCAAGCCCUUAGUGCCUAAAGAAGCAUGUGUAUUUUCUUUCAUUUCACAUUAGCAAUCUGUAAACUGGUUUUUCUUACCCUAAAUGCAGAAUACGCCCACACAACGCGAGUGAAUGAAAAGAUCGAUGUGUAUAGUUUUGGGGUCAUCCUUCUGGAGUUGACAACCGGCAGGGAAGCCAACGACGGCGAUGAACACACUGCCCUCGCUGAAUGGGCGUGGCGCCAUGUUCAAGAAGAAAACGCUAUCGCCGAUGCUUUGGACCAGGACGUCAAAGAACCUUGUUACUUGGACGAAAUGUGCUCGGUUUUCAAACUUGGCCUCAGUUGCACAGAGACACUUCCAGCUAGUAGGCCUUCCAUGAAGGUCGUUCUGCAAAUCUUGCUCCGAUGCAGCCGUCCAGUUAUCAACGGUGAAAAGACCGAGUACUUUGCCGCUCCUCUGCUCAAGAACUCGAAGCGCGAGAGGAUUUUGGAAGACUGGAAUGGUAGUUUGGCAACAAAUGUCUGAUGCCUUCAUUCUUCAAUCCAAAUCAACUCGAAAUUCAUCGGGUACUUUUUCUCCCGAGUUGUUCCUCUCGGUCCAAUCCCACCCAUCGGAUCGCACACUCGAUUUCAAGUACUCUCGGAGCUUCUCCGCCCUCCUGUAUUCCACGAAUCGAACGACUUAGUUUUGGCGGUUGAUCUGGGGACACGACAAAUUUGGGGGAAGAUUUAAGAAUUUUGGGGUUUGAAGCGGGGGAAUGGAGUUGGAAAUGGAAACGGCGAUGACGGCGAAGAGAAAAGAGAGUGGUUGCAGAUUAGGGGGGGGGGGCUGGGGUCGUGGUGUGAGGGGUAGGAGAUGCUAGAAAAGAAAAAAAAAAUUGACACGUGGCGUCCAAGUUCACAUAAGCUCUACAUCAUCAGUUAAUGGAGAUUUAACAGUCAGACUAUUGGAUGUAUGAGAUUGUCCCAAAAUUAACACUUUAGGUAUGACUCUGGGACCAAAAAAACUUGAUGUACUAAAUGUUGAAAACCACGAAACUUGAUAAUAGUAAAUUGACAUUUACCUAAAAUAAUAAUAUAGAAGAGUGAGAUGUUUGAGAAAAGAGUAAUGCUAGUAAGACUAAAUUUGUAGACUAAAUUUUGUAAAAUAAAUAACAUGAAAGUUGAUGACUAGAUUAUUACUUAAACGUUGAUAAACUUGCUCAUUUUCUAUUGGUGAUACAUCAUUACUUUGGAGAGAAAAAGAAAGAGAGAUGGAGAAAAUGUGUGGUUUUUAUUUUAUUUUAUUUUAUUUUUAAUAGAGGCGUGCUUCGAAGAAAUGUGGGUAAUCGGAAUAUAGAUUUUCAAAAUCUGAAUAGACAAUGUAUUGUCCCACCCGACAUUGUCAAUAUUAGGGGUAAUCGGAAUAUAGAUUUUCAAAAUCUGAAUAGACAAUGUAUUUUCCCACCCGACAUUGUCAAUAUUAGAUUCUUUAACGGAGGAUAUUCCAUUUUUGAAAAAAUAGGGUUAGUUGUGGUCUCAUCUUAUAUUGAACUUCAAUGAUCUAAAUGUUUAUUUUUCAUAUUGCAUCUCAUAGAUAAUUCUUGUAAAAUAUUUGCCAAAUUAGAAGUAUAUAAUAGGGGUUGGCAUGGGCCGGGCCGGACCCAAAUUUGAAGGGAUUGGACCGGACCUAGGUGCAAAGGAGACAGGCCGGGCCGAGUCAGGGAUUACAUUUUCUUAUAUAGGAAUCAAACCUUACUCGGCCCGGUUGAAACAGGCCGGGUCCACAGGUCCUUGGUUUUUUUUUUUUUUUUAAAAAAAAAAAACUGGUAUUUGCACAUAUUGCACAGAUUCACCAGUGCAGCAGAUUAUGCAAUAGGAAACCCAAAUAAUGCAAGAGGAAAGAUUUCGAAAAUUUUCCAAUUCCAAAUGCACCAACUUCUUUAUAAAAUCUUGAGCAUAAACAUCUCUGAACAAAGCAGAUUAAGACUCAAUAGAUCAAUACUCACAACAGAAACCCAAAUAAUAUAAUCCACAAAAAAUUGAAGCGCAUAGCGAAAUUAACAAAGUUUAAAUAUUUAGCAGGUCAUUAAGUAUAUAAGUAUCAAAAGAAAUACAUGAUAAAUACGAACAUAUCUCGAUAUGAAAAACCCUAAUAUGAAGUUAAGAGUGACCUAACAUACAUGGAGAGAUCAGUACUCUUUAGCCUUAGCAACUUCACUGGCGGUAACAGCGGUAGAUUCCACCGUAGAGCUCGCAAUCUCAGACUCCGUGGUGCCGUUUUGAGCAACAGAAGCAACGGCGUUCCUGGACUUGACAAUGUUGAGCAUGCGUUUGCUGAUCUCCUUGGAGUAAACCUGCAGGAUCUGAAUCUCGUCCUCCUCGAUGAGGGUAGGGGACGACGCACUCGAGACGGCUGGGUUCUGUAAGUCUGGGUCCCUGGGAUGUUAAAUCGAGACAGUGAGAGAGAGGUGAAAGAGAGGUGACAAAUCGAGAAGAUAGUGGUCACAUGGGUCGUAGUACUAUCGGGGUGGUGGAGGGAAAAGGACGACGCACUGAAGAUGGCGAGAGAGACUCGAUCGACAGAGUGAGAGUGAUAGUUGAAUUCGAUAGCUUUGAGGAUGAGCAAACCUAAAACCAACAAUUCAGAUUAAAUGGAGAGAUGAUCUCUUCAAUCUCAUCCGUACAUUCUAACUACAAAGAGCGGGUCCAGGUACCCGUGGUUCCUAUACUUUAGGAACCAGCCCAAAUCGAAAAUUUCAAAGGCCUACCCCGUUUCUGUUUUUACAAAAUAAGAACCGGCCCAUACCCUCCCCGAACCUUAAUUACCCGCCCCGACUCGCAGUUCCUAUACCCGUUUGCCCACCCCUAGUAUAUAAGGCAUCUAGUUGAAUUCAAAGUGAAGAACACUAUAUCACUACUACAAAAUUAUCUAUAACUGGCGGUUCAAAAAUCGACAAAAAACGUAUAUUACUAUCGGAUUUUAAGCAAAAUUUGACAGAAAAUGUAUGCAGUGGCGGAUAUAAUAAACGACAGAAUUGCCUGCGUCAUGAAAUAAAUUUUCCGACAGAAAAUACUCUAAAACCGACAGAAAUCCUGUCGGAUAUAGCCUACAAGAUAUAUAUUUAUAAUAAAUAAAUAAGAGAAUUUAUGUCGGAUAAAACCGACAGAAAAUCCAAAAUCACCAGGAAUUAUGUCGACUAUAACCGAUAGAGAAUUUAUCAUUAAGAAUAAAUAAAAGCAUUCUUGUCGGAUGAAACCGACAGAAAAUAUAUUAAUAAUUAAAAAAAAUAUAAACAACCACUUUCUGCGCAAUAAUCUCUUCUUUCGAACUAAAGAGGAGUAACCAAAACACACAUACAAAUCACACCUCUAGUGUAUUCAUUCUACACAAUGAUCAAGAGUUGUAAUGAACGAAAUAAUUCUACCGAUAUCUUCAAGAAAAGGUCCACUGAGCUUGUUGCUCGAAAGAUCUAAUCCUGUUAAGCUUAUGCAAUUUGCUACACUCCGAGGAAACGGGCCUUUGAGUCCCAAAUCCGAAAGCUUGAUAUUUAAAACUUUGCUUUCGUGAGGGUGCCAACACUCGAUUCCCAGAAAGUUAUAGAUGAAACCUUCGGUCUUAUUGCUGAAAUCCCAUGAUGAGUUUAAGUAGCCUAAAGGAUCCUGAAGUGAUGGUUUUAGACUUUUCAAGCAUUUUAUAUCACUCUCAAUAGCAAAGUUGAAACUACAACUAAGCAAUAACCAGACCACACCGCCAAAGAAAAUACCAGGAUCUCGUCCAUUCAACAACAUAUACAUCGAAAAAGCCAUAAAAAUUGCCUAAAUUCGCUAUUUAUUGUUACCGAAGCUCAAUAUACUGAAUCCACACCACAACAUUAGGAACACCAAGCCCUGAAACAAAUCCAAAAGCAACAUGAAAUGAACCCAAAUCAGACCAACAAACACUCAAGUUUUACAAAAUUUCGCAUAACUAACACCAAAUUUGGAAAUAAAUUAUGAAAACAGUACAGGAAACAAAACCCAAUUCAUUAUCUCUCUACCAAAAGGUGCAAAUACAUGUGUAAAAAGCAACAAUUUAAUUGAUGAAACAUGCAAAUUCAAAAUUCACAAAAUACAAACCAGAACAAACACACAGAAAGUCAAAGGCCUUACUUGAUCCAAUUGAGUUUGACCCAAGUCUCCAGAAACACAAAUGCAUACACACAUAUAUACAUACAAAAAUCCAGCUAAAAGUUUAAAGCUCGGAUCAUUGAAGCGAAACGAAGACUUUGAGUGGGUUCCCAAGAAGACAGUCACCACCUAGCUUAGAACUUAAACGACAUUCGCCGGAAUUCGUGGCUGUGAUGACAUGCAUGCACAUAUUCAAAACAGAGAUUAAACCCUAUAGAUUUUCGCCAUAAUACUCAUCACAGAUGGAUUAGAACCCACACAACCAAGAGGGGAAAAUAAUUCAUACGUGAGAUGGAGUUCAAGAGAUCUGAAGCUCUCAGCAUUAAUGGCAGAGCACACGAUGAUGCAUCGAUGAUACAUGCAAUGCUGCAGGUGUUGGGUUUUUUCCAGCCCAUGAUUAGUUGUCCUAAGUCUAUUGGGAAUUAAUAGUCUUAGAGGAUUAAAUUGUUUUCCCAAUUGGAGUUGUUUUCCCAAUUGGAGUUAGUUUCUCAAUUGGAGUAGGAUUCAUAACUAGAUUCCAAUUAGGAUUAAUAAUCCUUAUUGAAGAAGACCUUUAUUAUGUCUAUAUAAAGGGGCUAUUGUACUAGUUUUAAGGAGGGAGCAAAACAAUAAAUUGUAUACCACUCAAGGGAUUAGAGUGAGAGAAUAUUGUAAAGUGUGUGCGAGAGAAAAGAAAAGAGAUAGUGUAUUUCUUGUUCUUGUUAUUUCAGGUUUUUCGUCAAAUCUUAGUUCUAGAGAUUUGGCAAGAUUAUUGGUUGUACUCAUUAUUGAUAUAGUGAAAGAUUGUUGUUGCUGUCCCGUGGACGUAAGCACAUAUUGUCGAACCAUGUAAAUUCUUGGUGUUAUUUAUCUUGGUUAUUUGUUUUUCGAUUUCCGGAGUUUGUUCUUGUUUUUCCCAUUCUUAAACGCGAUAUUCUCAACAAGUGGUAUCAGAGCCUGGUUCGGCUGAUAUCCGUUUAGAAUGGAGGGUUCAAUUAUGAUGAAACUCACCCACUCCAACUGGGUUACGUGGAAAUCAAGAAUGGAGGACAUGCUUUAUUGUAAAGAUAGCCAUGAGCCAAUUGAAGGUGUUAAGAGCAAGCCAGAAAAUAUGUCUGAUGCCAAUUGGACCAAGAUGAAUCGUAAAACUAUUGGUACGAUUAGACAAUGGGUGGACGAGAGCAUCUAUCACCAUGUGUCUAAAGAAACUGAUGCGCAAGCUCUUUGGAAGAAGUUAGAAUCCCUCUUUGAGAAGAAGACCGCUGCCAAGAAAGCAUUCCUUAUCAAAAAGCUUGUCAACAUGAAGUAUGCGGAAGAUGUUAGUGUAACCGAGCACUUGAACAACUUUCAGAACGUGAUCAAUCAGGUAGUCACUAUGGGUUUGAAUAUUGAAGAAGAACUGCUAGCACUUUUAUUGCUAGGAUCCUUGCCAGAUAGUUGGGAAACCUUCGUCGUAACUGUAAGCAAUUCGGUUUCUAAUGGUGUACUGUCUAUGGAUGCCGUUAAGGAUAUCAUGUUUAAUGAAGAAACAAGGAGAAAAGCUUCAGGGGCAAGCGCUGGACAACUCUUUGUCAGUGAGAAAAGAGGCAAAAAUUCUGGUGAGACGAGAUUCAAUGGCGACUGCCACUAUUGUGGGAAAAAGGGUCACAUGAAGAAGCAUUGUCGUAAACGGAAAAAGGAACAAAAGGAUGGGAACAAUAUUGCAAGUGUUGUGACUUACGAUGAAGAGCUUCUUUAAUGUAGAUGAUUGAUGGUUUUAUGGCAAAGAAGUCUAUAAUUGCCUUUGCCAAUGACGAUGGGUGUUGCGAUCAGGGGGAGCCUGGUCAAGAGAAAUCUAAUCAGGAGGGUCUUGGUUAAUGAGUAGUUCAAUCAAGGGGAGCUUGGUUAUGGGUAAUUCGAUCAGGGGGAGUCUGGUCAUGAAAAGUUCGAUCAAUGGGAGUUUGGUCAAGAAGAGCAAUCCUAUUAUGGUAUACCUUCCUCAUGGUCUGGAGGGGGAGAUUGUUGGGUUUUUUCCAACCCAUGAUUAGUUGUCCUAAGUCUAUUGGGAAUUAAUAGUCUUAGAGGAUUAAAUUGUUUUCCCAAUCGGAGUUGUUUUCCCAAUUGGAGUUAGUUUCUCAAUUGGAAUAGGAUUCAUAACUAGAUUCCAAUUAGGAUUAAUAAUCCUUAUUGAAGAAGACCUUUAUUAUGUCUAUAUAAAGGGGCUAUUGUACUAGUUUUAAGGAGGGAGCAAAACAAUAAAUUGUAUACCACUCAAGGGAUUAGAGUGAGAGAAUAUUGUAAAGUGUGUGCGAGAGAAAAGAAAAGAGAUAGUGUAUUUCUUGUUCUUGUUCUUUCAGGUUUUUCGUCAAGUCCUAGUUCUAGAGAUUUGGCAAGAUUAUUGGUUGUACUCAUUAUUGAUAUAGUGAAAGAUUGUUGUUGUUGUCCCGUGGACGUAAGCACAUAUUGCUGAACCACGUAAAUUCUUGGUGUUAUUUAUCUUGGUUAUUUGUUUUUCGAUUUCCGGAGUUUGUUCUUGUUUUUCCCAUUCUUAAACGCGAUAUUCUCAACAGCAGGUUGAUUCCCCAUGUCCCAAGGGUUCGAGGUUUAGAUUUUUUAGGGUUGAUUUGGUCAGAAUUGAGAGGAAUGGUGGGGGUUCCUUCUCGGAGCUUAGAGAGAAAGAGUGUGUGUGUGUCGAGAGUUAGAGUUAGGUUUCAGAAAAAUGAAGGAGAGGAGUGGAGGUCGGAUGUGGGUAUAAGAAAAUUUUCAUUAUUGUUGAUUAAAACUUACAGAAUUUUUUUUUAAAAUAUAAACUGACAGCAAAUUUUCAUUCCUGUCGGUUAUAACCAACAGAACAAAAAAUGGCGGAAAAAUUCACCCCCAAAAUUCCCUCCCAAAAUUUUGUUACGAUUUUAAAAAAUAAAAUAAUAAUUGUUUGGUUUAAUAAAUAAAUAAAUAUAUAUGUAUUUAAGUAGAAUACGUUUUUAAAAAUUAAAUAAAUAAAAAAAAUUUGGUCGAAAAUAAAUAAUUGUUUGGUUUAAAAGAUAAUAACCUAUGUAAAAUAUGCAAUAAAGAAACAAAAAGAUAAUUGUAUAAUGAAAAUGUCAUCACAAUAAAAUAUUGUCUAAUCAAUACUUGAAAAACAUAAAUAAGAAUGCAAUGAACGAAUUCGAUCUUCAAUUUAAAAUAUUUACACUAGUGGAUACCAAAAACUCUUAUUUUAUACUUAAUGGAAGUAUAAUAUUAACUCUAAGUGUUUGUUUAAUCUACCAUUUUGACGUGAUAUGUCUUCUACGAAACUUUUUUCAACGAUCCAACCGUCAAACUUAUUUGUACACACUCCGAGAUUGUAUAUGUAAAAAAUCGUAAAAAACAAACAUUCAGAGAUUACGUAACGGAACAAAAGUUUUCGACGGUUAUAAAUGAAAAAUCAUAAUUUAACAGUUUAUUUUAGCUCCUGUUUUGAUGAUUUUUUUACAGCUACACUCCUCGACCCUAUAAGAAUGCAAUGAACGAAUUCGAUCUUCAAUUUAAAAUAUUUACACUAGUUGAUACCACAAAAUCUUAUUUUAUACUUAAUGGAAGUAUAAUAUUAACUCUAAAUGUUUGUUUAAUCUACCGUUUUGACACGAUAUGCAUUCUACGAAACUUUUUUCAAUGAUCCAACUGUCAAACUUAUUUGUACACACUCCGAGAUUGCAUACGUAAAAAAUCGUAAAAAACAAACAUUCAAAGAUUACAUAAUGGAACAAAAGUUUUCGACGGUUAUAAACGAAAAAUCACAAUUUAACAGUUUAUUUUAGCUCCGAUUUUAAUGAUUUUUUACAGCUACACUCCUUGACCCUAUAAGAAUGCAAUGAAUAAAUUUGAUCUUCAAUUUAAAAUAUGUAUACUAGUGGAUACCACAAAAUCUUAUUUUAUACUUAAUGGAAAUAUAACAUUAACUCUUAAGUGUUUAUUUAAUCUACCGUUUUGACGCGAUACACAUUCUACGAAACUUUUUUCAAUGAUCUAACAGUCAAACUUGUUUGUACACACUUUGAGAUCGCAUACCUAAAAAAUCACAAAAAAUAAACAUUCAGAGGUUAGGUAACAGAACAAAAGUUUUCGACGGUUAUAAAUGAAAAAUCAUAAUUUAACGGUUAUUUUAGCUCUGAUUUUGAUGAUUUUUUACAGCUACACUUCUCGAUCCUAUAAGAAUGCAAUGAAUGAAUUUGAUAUUCAAUUUAAAAUAUUUACACUAGUAGAUAUCACAAAAUCUUAUUUUAUACUUAAUGGAAGUAUAAUAUUAAUUCUAAGUGUUUGUUUAAUCUACUGUUUUGACGCGAUAUGCAUUCUACGAAACUUUUUUCAAUGAUCCACAAAAUCUUAUUUUAUACUUAAUGGAAGUAUAACAUUAACUCUUAAGUGUUUAUUUAAUCUACCGUUUUGAUGCGAUACACAUUCUACGAAACUUUUUUCAAUGAUCUAACUGUCAAACUUGUUUGUACACACUCCGAGAUCGCAUACGUAAAAAAUCACAAAAAACAAACAUUCAGAGAUUAGGUAACAAAACAAAAGUUUUCGAUGGUUAUAAACGAAAAAUCAUAAUUUAUCGGUUAUUUUAGCUCCGAUUUUGAUGAUUUUUUACAGCUACACUCCUCGACCCUAUAAUAAUGCAAUGAACGAAUUUGAUCUUCAAUUUAAAAUAUUUACACUAGUGGAUACCACAAAAUCUUAUUUUAUACUUAAUGGAAGUAUAAUAUUAAUUCUAAGUGUUUGCUUAAUCUACCGUUUUGACGCGAUAUGCAUUCUACGAAACUUUUUUCAACGAUCCACAAAAUCUUAUUUUAUACUUAAUGGAAGUAUAACAUUAACUCAUAAGUGUUUAUUUAAUCUACCAUUUUGACGCGAUACACAUUCUACGAAACUUUUUUCAAUGAUCUAACUGUCAAACUUGUUUGUACACAAUCCGAGAUCGCAUACCUAAAAAAUCCCGAAAAACAAACAUUCAGAGAUUAGGUAACAUAACAAAAGUUUUCGACGGUUAUAAACGAAAAAUCACAAUUUAUCGGUUAUUUUAGCUCCGAUUUUGAUGAUUUUUUACAGCUACCCUCCUUGAUCCUAUAAGAAUGCAUUGAAUGAAUUCAAUCUUCAAUUUAAUAUAUUUACACUAGUGGAUAAUUUUUUAUACUUAAUGGAAGUAUGACAUUAACUCUUAAGUGUUUGUUAAAUCUGUUAAUUUGAUAAGAUAUGCAUUCUACGAAACUAGUUUUAGCGAUCCAAUCGUCAAAUAUGUUUGUAUAUACUCAGAGACAACAUGUAUAAAAAAUCGCAAAAAAAAAUAAAAAUAAGAGAUUAGGUAACGGAACCGUGAGUGAAAAAAAUAUUUAAGCCAUUUGUUUAUUUAUUUAUAAUCAAUAUAAGACUUUAAAAUAAUAAAAUAGUCAAUUUCUGUCGGUUAUAACCGCCAGAAUACUAAAAUAAUAAAAUAGUCAAUUUAUGUCAGUUAUAACCGCCACCAUUAACUUAGACCGCCAUAAUAUGUUAAAAAUAUUAAAAAGAAAAGAAUUCAAAAAUACUGAGGGUUAUAAUAAUUUUAUGGCGGUUAAAUCCACCAAGAAUUUUUGUCGGAUAUAUCUGACAGAAAUUAACUUUUAUCCGACACUAAAUAAAUUAUAUGUCGGAUAUCUUUUAUCCGUCAGAAUGACUUAAUAACCACCACCAUCGUCCGACAUCUAAAGCUAAUAUUGUAGUAGUGUAUCCUAAGAAAUACUGAAAUUUCAUUAUGACAAUUAAAUGAGUAAAUAGUUUCAGAUUGAACUGAAUUUAUGCAUAAAUAAUCUAUGAAUCAAAACUUACAAAAUAAACGUUCGGAUAGUUGAAAUUUGAUAUGAAAUGGCUUGCACAACUAAGCACAGCAAAAGAGACUGGCGCUUAACCAUUAUACUGUGAAGCAUGGACGUCAUUAGUUGCGUUAUAUAUAAGUAAUUUAAAAACCAAAUGAUUCAUGAAGAAUUAGGAACUCCUAAUCUCAAAGGAACAAGGAAAAUAUAAUUAAAAUAUUUAUAAAUAAUACAAUUAGGGCAGUGACUAAAUGGGAGCCGUAGUGACUGGGGUGGUUAACAUCACAUGCCUCUAAGCAAAGAGGUCACGGUGAGUCAUCAAUCUUCCCAACGGCUUGCACACCGACAUGUGAGUAUAUGACUUAGAUCAAUAUUUGAAGAAAUUGGCUUCUUCUUCUUUAAGUCGUCAUUUUAAUUUAUCUGUUAAUUACAGUUUGACACGUGAGUAAAAAGUUGUUACUAAUAUGUGUUUGGACCCGAUUUUACACAUCGGCCUAAGCAAUCGAGGCCGUUGAGUAAGCAUGGUUCUCAACCGUUGGAUAAGAAAGUUUAGAUAUUAUUGUUAAGAGAUAAUAUUAUGAUUUUUAGUCAUAAUAAUUAUUUUUUUAAUAAGCUAUCUCGGUUUUUUAUGCAAAAUAAAUGGGAUGGAGGCAAGUAGAGUUGUGAUGGGGACGUGAGCUUUGAAUCAGGUUGGUUUGUUUUUCUGGACAUGCAUGCAUGGGAUUUAAAGAUAAUGAAGUGAUAGGGGAUAAAUCCAAACAUGCCAAAACGUGUAAUUUGCAAAAGAAUUGUGCAAUAUGGAGAUUCUAUCCUAAUGCAUGGUUUUUUGGGAUUGGUUUUGUGCACGUGGCAUGCUACAAUGGAGAUGAUGGUUUUGCAUGGUGAUGGCAAUAUGGGUUUAAAGGUUUCUCAUGUUUUUUAAUAAGAAGCCUAGGUGGGUUAGAUCUCUAGUGAGAUGUGAUAAAGCCUAGGUAGGCUUUAUUUAUCUGAAGGAUAUGUGCGGCGUAUUUGAUACGGGAUCAGGGUUUAUCUGAAGGAUAUGCGCGUCAUAUUUGAUACAGGAUCAAGGUCAAUUCCACAAAAUAGAGUUGCACUUGGACUCUACAAAAUUAUCAGGCCAUGCCAAGCAAGUACAUCAGCCUAUAAAUACAAAGGCAGUGCAUCAUUCGAGAGACCCCCUGCAAAUCAAUACAAAAUUGCCCUGCGCAAACUCUCACAACUUGUGAUUUUUCUUUUCCUUUUUUCGCUGACACAUCUUCCGUUGGCAUCAACAGCACUGUGGAAGCAACCGGUGAUAUCUUAAGUCGGCAUAUAUAGCUCUGUCACCGUAGAGUCAGUCGGUCUCGCAGUAUCUUCCGUUGGCAUCAACAGCACUGCGGCGAGAACGAUUGAUUACCUAUCCAAGUCUCGGUCGAAAAGGGUUUCUAAAUCCUUAUUGGUCGAGGUCAUCUCAUCAGCCUUCUCGGCGAAGUGAGGUGUUACAGUUAUUACAUUCGGCACAUUGAAAGCCGAAUUUGAUAUCGAACUUCGUAAGAAUAGUAACCUUGUCUUCAGGUUCGAGAGCCCAAGAGGCCGAGACGUGUUCCUUUCUCGGCCGCAAUCGCAAGACGCAGAAGUCAGUAGCGCGACCCCCUGCAAAUCAAUACAAAAUUGCCCUGCGCAAACUCUCACAACUUGUGAUUUUUCUUUUCAUUUUUUCGCUGACACAUCUUCCGUUGGCAUCAACAGCACUGUGGAAGCAACCGGUGAUAUCUUAAGUCGGCAUAGAUAGCUCUGUCACCGUAGAGUCAGUCGGUCUCGCAGUAUCUUCCGUUGGCAUCAACAGCACUGCGGCGAGAACGAUUGAUUACCUAUCUAAGUCUCGGUCGAAAAGGGUUUCUAAAUCCUUAUUGGUCGAGGUCAUCUCAUCAGCCUUCUCGGCGAAGUGAGGUAUUACAGUUAUUACAUUCGGCACAUUGAAAGCCGAAUUUGAUAUCGAACUUCGUAAGAAUAGUAACCUUGUCUUCAGGUUCGAGAGCCCAAGAGGCCGAGACGUGUUCCUUUCUUGGCCGCAAUCGCAAGACGCAGAAGUCAGUAGCGCGACCCAACGCAACAUCAAUAAAUUUACUCCUCGGCCGAGCUCGGCCGACGAGUUGGCACGCCCCGCAUUCACCGAAGAACGUAGUUAGCUCAUUAAUUACUCGGCCUGCGCGCCACGUAGGCUUUGUAGUUUCUAGGGUCAACAAUAUGUCAUCAGAAUAAAUUGCACGCCCAUAAGUUAUGUACUUUAAUGAGUUACUAUGGUCUCAAAAAUUCAGACAAUCCAAUGUUCGUAACAUUCAAUGAUACGUAGCAUGGAAGUUGAACCUGAAAAAUAGAUCAAUUGUUUCUUCUUCUUUUUUUCCCAUAAAAAGGAACCAGUUAGUGGUUUCGUCACGUCAAUCUACCAUUACAGGAACAGGGAAGACUCACAAAGGCAUUUCAACCUCUUCCUAACUACCAUCUUAUAAUUCACCAGCGCCUUAAAUCGAACCCAGAUUGAUCAAAGAUUUGGCUAUUGAUUUUUAGGAAAACUAAUGAAAAGAGGUUGAAAACUUUGAGUUUUAGUGAUAAGGACAAAAUAAAGAGUAAAGUGAAUAGUACCAGAUUUGACUUUUUAGUGUAAAAAUAUGGUUUUACGUUAAAGUAAACUGUAACGCAGACUUUUCGUUAAAACUCUCUUGAUUUUUCAGUAUCAGUUUCUAGAAAUCAUGGAAUCCAUAUAGUUGUUGGUCUAAGAACAUGCAUUUUUUUGGUUUUUUUUUAUUGUUUGGGGGCCGGGAUGCACUGAACUGUCCGAGUGGGUGGGUGGGUAAUAAUAAUAUGCAGUCAAUCCCAGAUUGAUCAAAGAUUUGGCUAUUGAUUUUUCAGUAUCAGUUUCUAGAAAUAAGGGAAUCCAUAUAGUUGUUGGGUCUAAGACCAUGCAUUUUUUUGGUUUUUUUAUUUUUUAUUUUUUUUUGGGGGGGGGGGGGGGGGGGGGGGGGUGGGGGGGGGGAAUGCACUGAACUGUCCGAGUGGGUGGGUGGGGUAAUAUGCAGUCGAUCCAAUGAUCAUUUUCUCUUGUUUUCUCCUAGCACCCCACACGAAUGUUUGAACAUUUUGUGCAUCUUCCAGAACAUUAGGAGAAUAAACACCACCUACAAAACCCCUUGUUUUCCAAUGCCACUUGGUCACCUUCUGCCCUUGUUUUCCAAAAGUAAUUUCCGUACAUGUUUUUUCUCAUCUUGCAUACUCGGUAUUUAAAUUGAUUAAUCAUAAAGCUUUGAUACUUAACACCAAUGUUCUAAACGACGCUAUGUGUUAGCUGGGCGGUGGGUUAGGGUCUAGAGCCUAGGUGGCUAGAUAGAGCUUAGGUGGGGGACUAUGUGAAUUUAAGUAAAUUUAUUGUAUAUCGUAUAAAUAAGUAUCUGUUUAUAUUUAAAAAAUAUAUAACUUUAUUGGGAUAUAUAAACUGAAAAAUAGAAGGACAUGUAGAUUAUGAAAUAUUACAACAUGAAAGUUAUCUAUUUUUUGUCUAAGUGAAAGUCGCAAUCUAAGCUGGUGUCUAGGCGGGCGUCUAAACGGAUCUAAGCGUUCUUUUUUAAUUUUCAAACGCUUAAAAAUUAAUCAAGACGGUAGUUAACCGUCUAGCACCUAAGUAAAACUUAGACGGCGUUCGGUAAAGAUUUUUAAAACAAGGCCUGAUGCAAUCCCCCUCCUCAUUUGCGUCUAUAUCAGUGAAACCCAGGCCAGCUGUUUUCAUUCCUCCAAAUCAUAAAUUUCGACGGAAAAAAUGGAAUCAAAAUCCGUAUCUUUGAUUAGGUCAAAGUCUUCCACAAGAAAAUAUAAUAAUUUCAUUCAACGAAGGCGUUCGUCCACGCUUCAGAUUCGAGGAAACUUCAUUGCCUUUCUUUCCUUGCCUUCCACGUAUGUCACGUUCCCGCUAACGGACAAAGGGGAAUUGAAUUUCUUGCAACCUAAAACAUUUUUUUUUUUUUUUGAGAACUGCAACCUAAAACUUUGGUAAAUUAUAUUUUAACUUACAAGCAUGCGGUUUCCCAACAUCACCACCAGUGACAAUUGACUGCUGGAAUACCCCUUCAAUGAAAUCACGACAUCUGUUCUAUUAAUAAAUCUAGAAGGUUUAUCUUUUAAAAAAUUAAUUAAUUAAAAACUAAAACUGAAAGAUUCAAAUACAAAAUAUGCAGGCCAUACAACCCCUCUCCGGCGAGACACGCCAACCCCAAUCUCGUCCAAAUCUGGUACCACUCCACCUCCCUCUCUUCCUCUUCCUCAUAGACGAAGAACAACAGGCAGAGAGUGGCGGAUGGAGUUUCUCCAAUCGAUAACCCGCCGACGCUAUAUGCCCCCGCUGGAACCCAUGUGGACCAUCUUCCUCGUCGUCAUCUUCAUCAGCCUGAUGUUCGAGUUUUUCUUUGACGAGAAAACUUUGCUCCUUGCUGGGUUUUUUUGUGAUGGGUAUGAAACUGCGAGGCCGACGAGCACAGGAGCCGACUCACUGAGUUAAUGGUGGCGCGAGUUAGCGAUUAUAGUGGGGGUUGAGAGAUUCGAUGACUCAAUUUUUUCCAAGAAUAUAUGGCCAAAUUUGCGUUCUUCUUUUCCCGUAUUUGAGAAAGAAGGAUGAAAUAGAAAUUGCGAGGAGGACGGAUCGGACGCCGGGUGGGGGGAGCUGUGGGUUGUUGGCGCGACUGUCGAAUUGUUUUGUUUUAGUUUUUAUUUUAAUUGAAUUUCUUAAAAAAAAUUAAAUCAGAUAGAUUCUUUAUUGGGGCACGUGGCAUCUCCGAUUAGAUGUGUACACAUAUAUUAAAGUCAACUGGUUGGGAUUCUGAUCUUCAUCUCAUAUCCCUAUGUAAAACUAAAACCUAAUUCAAAAACGAAAACGAAAAUACUCGGUUCCUUUAUAUGUAUGUAAGAAGUCACACUUUUUUAUAAAUAAAUUACAAUUUGAUAUGCGAGCAUAAAUUUCUUUUUUUACGGUUUUAAUAAGUAAAAUAUUAUCAUUAGAGGCUUAAAAUAUUAUUAAUUUACGUGUCAAACUGCAAUUGUAUGUAUCGAGAAAAAGUGACGGAAGUAAGCAAGUGCAAAUAAAAAACUGUGAAUAUGAGUUAACAGCUAAGUGAUAGGUACAACCCCACAAGAAUUGGUGGGUUUUUUACACUUUCCCCAUUGACCAUAAAUUUUUAAAGUCCUCCCCCACUAAAACUCCAAACCAUUUGUGACCCUGCAAUGAUUCUGGAAAAUCCCCCAAUUUCUAACGUCUAUUUAGAUUCAAUUUCAUAUCCCAUACAAAGG